AAAUCUGUAAAAAAGUCUGUACAACUACAUUUAACACAUUCAAUCAACUUAAACAAAGAUUUUAUUCAUUAAGUUAAAAAGAUGAGUUUUGUGAGCAACACUUUGCUAGUUCAUUCAAAAAAGCAUCUGCCAACUUGUUUUUUUGUGUUAAGUCAAUCUCUGACUUUUUUAAUGCAAUGAAUAUACAAGUAGCAUAACCUUUUGUUGAUUGAAAAGGUUUCAAACAUGUUAAAUAUUCUAAAAAAAUUAUCAAUGGCAGUAUAGAACCUUUUCCCAGAGAUGGGUUGGGGCUGGAAGGGCAUCCGCUGCGUAAAAACCUGCUGGAUAAGUUGGCGGUUCAUUCCGCUGUGGCGACCCCAGAUUAAUAAAGGGACUAAGCCAACAAGAAAAUGAAUGAAUGAGUAUAGAACCUUUCAUGGUUUGUAUUAAAAAGUAAAUGCUGAGUGAGAAUGCUAUUAUUAUUAUUAUUAUUAAUACAAUAAUAAAUAUCGUUAUUCUUCACAUUGUUAUUAAAAACAACAAAAAACACUACAAUACUUAUAGUAACUUUAUUUGAAACUUUUCAUUUGCAAUUUAACUUUAUUUGGUGCACAUUUGCAGAAAUAAGCUUGCACGCACAUUAUCAUCUCGUGUUUAUUCAUUACCCUUUAAAAAAAGAAAGGCAUACUUUGAUAUUCCAAUAUUUAAAAAUAAACCAUGCACUCAAAAAUAUGUUUCUCAAAGGACGAUAUAGCAUCAUUCUGUCUUGAGCUAAACCACGCCCUCGUUACGAUGGUUGCGCUUACGUAACGUCAACGUCUCAGGCGGGAGAAACUGGAAGCAUUGUACUUCGGUGGGGAAAGAGGCAAGCCGUGGAAGAGCAAUCUUAAUAACGGUGGCGGUAAUGUUCCAAAAGCUGGUUGCCAACCGCUAUGAUGAUCACAAGAAGAAAAAGAAGUUUGGCGUUUCAAAACAGUGGAUUCCGGUCAGAAAGACACACAUGAGGAAGCUCGACUCAGCUUGGCUUGCAGACAGAUGAGGACGGUGAUUGCCCGUCAUACACCUAAAGAAAGAACAGGGGCAUUAAAGACACAACUAUAGUGAACGAGG
Molecule: non-coding RNA, 1089 nt
Organism: Danio rerio (zebrafish)
Lineage: Eukaryota; Metazoa; Chordata; Actinopteri; Cypriniformes; Danionidae
Source: RefSeq, a predicted model, not a curated record